AGUACUGAGGGGUUUGUGAGGUCCUCACCCUGGCUCCUCGGACCCAUUGGGAUUCAACGAGUGGCCCCUCACUGGGAUCUGCAAGUGGGAUACCAGAGCCAUUUCCCAGACCUCAGGAGACCUGUGGCCUUUUAACCAACCAACUUGUACUACCGAGGAGUGAAAUUACUGGAUUACAUGUUAACCCUAUGUUUAACCUUCUGAGAAACUGCCAGACUGUUUUCCAAAGUGAUGCCACCAUUUCACAUCAAGGUUAUCCUAAGAUCUUCCUGAUCUUGGGUUAAGUGUUGUUCUUUUUGGGUAUGGGCUUGAGGACAGGACUUGGUCGUUCAGCUGGUGCUAGUGCAGGUGUUGGCGUCAAAAAAAGAACCAACUGCCUCGAUGAGCCUAGAAGUGCAGGCGGGGCAUCACUCUGAAGAGCGACAUGAAUGCGGCUCCUGCUGUCCUGUGCCUGCCAGCAGUUCUGCUUCUCUGAUUAACCCUGACUGAUCCAGGCACUAAGAAGAAAACCAAAUUCACCUGUAAUCCAUACCCAGAGAGGACCACUGUCAACAUCUCAAAGUGCAUUCCUUCUGCCUGGAAUGGUUCAGCUGAACGGAAUGAGGCCUGGAGAGGUUCAAGACUGCUCAGGACUCGACUAGGUGGAGGCAGAGAUGGGCCCUCAGAGGCUGGUUUCGCCCCUGCACAUCUGGUAUUGCGUUGACUGCGUCUCAGAGCCCCUGGGUGACCCUGGGCACAAGCUCUGAGCCUGUGAGAGCGGGUUUUGAACACAUUUCCUGGGCUUUGCGGCCACCUGCGUUGACAUCUUCCCCAUUUUGUUCUGACCAAAUUGCAGGAGUUCCACCUUUCUGUUCCUCUGCAGAAAAAAACAAACCACAGUCUUUUAAAACUAGUCAUGCUGUGUCAUCUUCCUCCGCAGAACUGACCGGGAAGUGAUGGCCACCAGGGGGCCAGAGAGAGCCGGGAGGCCUCCUCCCUGCCAAACAGCUCCUCAGACGUCAGUUAGAGAUGUAGUCCUUCGAUUUAGCAUUAUUAGCUCAAGAAUUCUCUUUUAAAAUACAGGUAUUCCAAGAGAGGUUAACACAUGCGAUCCUCAGUCUUUCAGAAGGAAUGAUUCCCCAGCUGCAGUGGUAAGUGAUAUGGUAUCACAAGAGAGCAGGCUGGCCCGAGAGGGGCCAGGGAGAGAAGCCGCCAAAUGCAAAUUUGCAGUUUGGCUGAGACCUCCUGGGCCCUGACUUUUACGAGCCCAGGAGUCAAAGGGCGUUUCUGUUCAAACCUCAGACCUGGGCCUAGGACUCUGCCCCUCGCUUGGAGGGCGGAUCCAUCAGGAGGACAGAUUUGCUUCCCUGAUAAGAAUAGGACCAAAAAAGAAGCAACUGGAGAUGGCGUGGAAAAGAGAUGAGUGAUGAUGAGAAAAAACUGGUGACACACUGUCUCCAGCAUGUCAGUUCUGCCUGGCUGGUUUCUUGAAGAGGAACAAAAAGUGGGUGUUGUCGUUAAGGUUUCUUGCUUUGUUUUCUUCUCUCGUCCAAUGGCUCUAGAUACUGGUGGCCUCUUUCCUGGUAAGCUCCUGUCACUGCCCCCCCCCCCCUUCCGCCGCCCCCAGUAGAGGGGACAUUUACCCCACACGUUGGCUGCUGAGCUGGGAACCUCAGACUGGCAGGGAGGCCACGGCCCAAAGCACAGGAGUGCCCAGGGGUAACAUUAUCCUGCCAGAGCUAAACAAGGAACCGAGUGUUUAGAAUAACUUCAAGAAAGUCGUGGGCGUUUCCUCUGUCAGGGAAACAAGAGACCACAGUGAGAUAAUGGAUGGCUAUAUUCAGGUCACAGAUUAUCAGCUGCCACUGCUGCUUCCUGUUCAGAAUUCUAUGAGGCUCCUUUCUAGUCACUCGAGUCUUGUGGAUUCUGUGAAUGUGACCAGCAUUUCGUGAUGCGGGGCCGGGAGGCGCGGCCUGCAGAUCUGACAUCAAUCAGAGGUGGAGCUGCUCCUUCAGGGUGAGGCAGGCGGGAAGGGCCUGCUCCUGGUGGAGCAGGUGGUGGGUGAGGCGCCCACGGUGAGAAUAACUUUUACUAAACUCUUAGCAUUUUUCAGGUUCUUGGACUAAGGUUUUUGUGCACUCUCUCAUUUGACACUUAAAGUCACCUUACGCCAAAGAGACUGGAACCCUUGUGUGCUGUUGAUAGGAAUGCGAAAUGGUGCAGCCACUCUCAAAAACUGUGGCGGUUUUUCAAAACAUUGAACAUAGAAUUACCGAACGAUCCAGCAACUGAAAUCAGGAUGUCGAAGAGACAGUAGCACUCCUAUGUUCAAUUGCAGCACAAUUGUCACAAUAGUCAAGACGUGGAGACAACCUAGAUGUAGAUGGAAGGAUGAAUGGAUAAAGAAGAUGUGGUAUAUAGAAUAUACUAUAUACAUACAAUGAAAUAUUAUUCAGCCUUUAAAAAGAAGAAAAUCCUAAAAAUAUGCAGCAACACAGUUGAGCCUUGAGGACAUUAUGCUAAGUGAAGUAAGCCAAUCACAGAAAGACAAAUCCUAUAUGACUCUACUCAUAUGAGGUAUCUAAAAGAAACUCAUAGCCCUAGUCAGUUUGGCUCAGUGGAUAGAGCGUCGGCCCUCGGACUGAAGGGUCCCGGGUUCGAUUCCAGUCAAG
This is a long non-coding RNA of Myotis myotis, 2651 nucleotides long. RefSeq lists it as uncharacterized. NCBI's taxonomy places the organism in Eukaryota, Metazoa, Chordata, Mammalia, Chiroptera, Vespertilionidae. The record is from RefSeq and is a predicted model, not a curated record. The transcript is spliced from 4 exons.